This 399-nucleotide long non-coding RNA is filed under the name Ananas comosus (pineapple). RNAcentral describes it as "long non-coding RNA (ACOM_LNC014117)". The record is from RNAcentral. Lineage: Eukaryota; Viridiplantae; Streptophyta; Magnoliopsida; Poales; Bromeliaceae.
UAAAAAUUCUGCCUAUAUAAUGUUUUCACCGUUCAUUCGCGGUAAGAUGAAUCUCUGAACUAUUUAAUGAAUGAUGUAACAUAUGUUGGUCGUUGCACUAUUUUUUGAUUCUUUUAUAUCGUUAAACUGGCAAGUAUUUUAUGCCAGUCGUUAAAAGUUCUUAAUUUUGGAAUCUUUUGAUAAGAAAGUAAAUAAUGUAUUAAAAUUAUAAGUUUUAAUUUUUUGAACUUUCAAAUACUCUAAAUUAUAUUUAAAAGUGUAAAUUAUUGAUUCAGAAGCUCAAUCAGUAAAAAUAGCUUAAAAAUAUGAAAACAACCGUACUCAUAAGAAUAUAAUAAUUAGUCGCACACACACAUACUCUCUCUCUCUCUAUAUAUAUAUGUCAAUAUAUUAAUUUAG